RNA transcript from Apis laboriosa (Himalayan honeybee), 2044 nucleotides. RefSeq lists it as uncharacterized. The record is from RefSeq and is a predicted model, not a curated record. Lineage: Eukaryota; Metazoa; Arthropoda; Insecta; Hymenoptera; Apidae. The transcript is spliced from 4 exons.
AUGUUAUUAGGCUAGAAAUUUAUAAGAAUAUAACAUUAUUUUAGUAAAUUGUUUAAAACAUAUAAUCUAAAAUACAAACUAAAUAUAUGCAGAAAUAAAAAAAAAACAAAACAUAUUAUUGGGGUUAUGUUACAUUUGUCGAUUUCAUUGUAUUAUUUGAGUUUUAUUAUUUAUAUAUAACUAUUGAUAUGGAAAAACAUUUUGCAGCAUUAAAAUUAUUCGAUUCAGAUUCUGAUAAAAUAUUAACAGAAGCACUUAAUUAUUCUGAAACGCCAUCUUCUUCUCGAAUUUGUUUAAAUCAAAUUUAUCGGUCUAAAAGUCAGUCUAACUUGGUUAGACAAUAUAGUUAUGAACAAAUUUUUAAUGAAAAUAUAACUUCAAAACAAAUAAAAUUACCAGAAUUUGCGCAAACUGGCAAUAGAACUAUUAAUUAUCAAACAACGGAAUUUUAUUAUAGCCCGAAUAAAUCUCUUAAUAGACAGUUUUCCAAAAGUAGUAAUAUAUUACAAGCACCAAAAUUUGUUUUAAACAAAACAUCAAAUGAAAUAUCCUCUAGUACAAAUAAUAUAAAUGAAUCAAAGUCUUUGUUAUAUUGUCCUAUAAAAAAUACAAUAACAAAUGUGACAGAUACAAAAAAUGAAGUUGAAGACUUAUCAUCUGUAAAAAUAAAUAAUUGUGAAGAAGUACAUACUAUAUCAGAAGUAAAAGAUGUUACAAAAAUUAUAGACGAAAAGACGUAUCAAAAUAUAAAAAAGAAAUUUAGACCAUUAGUAAUGAAGAAUAAAAUUGCUCAAAAAAAAAAGACAAAUAUGUGUUAUUAUAGUUGUUUAACUUUAGGUAUAUUACCAGUAAUUGCAAUCAUAUUUGCAUUACUGUUAGAUUUAAAUCUACCCACAUUUUGUGAUCGUGCUAUGAUUUUUUCAAAUGCUAGUCAAGAAUUACAACAAAAAAUACAUGGACAGGAAAAUGCAAUUUCACAAAUUAUUAAUCAUUUAAAUCAAGAUUUCUUUUAUUUGAAAGUUUUAUGUCUCAUAGGUGGAACAGGAGUUGGAAAAUCUUAUACUGUCGAUACAAUAGCAAAACAUUUUCCUUUUAGAAAAGCAAUUCAUACAUAUGAUGCACUGUUAGAUUAUUCUAUGGAUAUGAACAUGUUAAAUUCAUUACCUUCAUAUCAAUUAUUUAUUAUGGAAAAUUUAAAAAUAAAAGAUUUGGAUAUCUUUUCUAAUAUACUAGAUAUGCUAAGUCAAAAAAGAGAUAAAUGUAUUACAAUAAUAGCAAUUUUUAAUGUAGAAGAAAUAAAUGAUAACUUAGAAAGAAAAAUAGAUUUAAUACAAAGUACAAGUAAAAUUCAAGAAAUACUGAUUAGGAAAAAAAUUGAUAGUUUAAUUGUUCCUUAUCAACCUUUGAGUGAAGAAACAUUACAGACUUGUAUAAUAGAAGCAGCAACUGCUAGUGAUUUAACACUUACAUUGGAUCAAAUAAAUGAAAUUAAAGAAAGCUUAUUACAGUUUGGCAGUGGCUGCAAAGGAGCCUAUGCUAAGAUCUUUAUAAACAGUCGAGGUACUAAUUUGAUAUAAUUUACUAUAUUCAUGUAACAAGUCUUUAAUUAAAUCAUUAUCAUAAAGUCAGAUUAGUAAAGUAUCUAUGAUUCUAUGUUUCUUGUUUUUAUUCUUUUAUAUAUAAAAACAACGAUUGCCUCGAAAAAUGAAGCAAAAAUCGACAAUUGAUGUCAUAAUGAUAUGCAGACAUUAAUAGAGAAUGACAUCUUUAUUAAAAUGAACAUAAUUGUGGGGAUACAGUAACAUUUCACUUUCUGAUGGCAAAUGUUUGAAUCAUUGCGUGUCAAAGCUUAGUAAGAAAACACCACCGAAGCAACUGUUACGUACUAUUUAUGUCAGUAUAAUCAUUAUUGUUAUGCAAAACCAUAACAAUCUAAUUCGUAAUUGUAUCAAUAUAUAUUCUUUGUUUUUCCUUUUUACUUUAAAAAUGCUUAUUCUUUAAUAAAUGAUACUUCUGUUUUCAUUACACUUUCUUUCAUUCGAUU